RNAcentral lists this ribosomal RNA (484 nucleotides) under uncultured bacterium. Its description in RNAcentral is "partial 16S ribosomal RNA". It matches the Rfam family "Bacterial small subunit ribosomal RNA", at positions 28 to 507 of the family's 1533-position model. The record is from RNAcentral.
AUUGAACGCUGGCGGCAUGCUUUACACAUGCAAGUCGAACGGCAGCGCGGGCUUCGGCCUGGCGGCGAGUGGCGAACGGGUGAGUAAUGCAUCGGAACGUGCCCAGUAGUGGGGGAUAGCCCGGCGAAAGCCGGAUUAAUACCGCAUACGACCUGAGGGUGAAUGCGGGGGACCGAAAGGCCUCGCGCUAUUGGAGCGGCCGAUGUCGGAUUAGCUAGUUGGUGGGGUAAAGGCUUACCAAGGCGACGAUCCGUAGCUGGUCUGAGAGGACGACCAGCCACACUGGGACUGAGACACGGCCCAGACUCCUACGGGAGGCAGCAGUGGGGAAUUUUGGACAAUGGGGGCAACCCUGAUCCAGCCAUGCCGCGUGAGGGAAGAAGGCCUUCGGGUUGUAAACCGCUUUUGUUCGGGAAGAAAUCCUCUGGGCUAAUACCCCGGGGGGAUGACGGUACCGGAAGAAUAAGCACCGGCUAACUACGUG